RNAcentral lists this unclassified non-coding RNA (884 nucleotides) under Hevea brasiliensis (rubber tree). The record is from RNAcentral. Lineage: Eukaryota; Viridiplantae; Streptophyta; Magnoliopsida; Malpighiales; Euphorbiaceae.
AGAAGGGCAGAAGUUGAGACGUGGAAAGGCUCAUCACAUGAUCGGCAUAUAAAUGCAUGUCAAAGGCAAUUUUCAUGCUUAUUAUCAUGUUUGUUACUAUGGUACGCUACCAGCUUGAAUGUUUCAGCCAACAAGAUAACGAGUGUUCUUCUAAAGAAAAUUGUUCUUUGUAACCAAAUAAUGAAAGGGACAAGAGAAAUUGGUUGGUAGUCUUCUUGGCAAAGAGGUAGGUGAUCUGAAGAAGGGCAGAAGUUGAGAUGUGGAAAGGUUCAUCACAUGAUCAGCAUGUAACUAGAAUGAAAUUUUGUAGCCUGGUCUGCUGCUGCUUCAUCCUUUAAUAGUCAAAUUUUAAACCACAUCUUUUUCAUAUCUUUUAAAAAAAACUAUUGAAUCUUACCUUCUCUUUUAUUUUGUGACUCUCUUUCUAAGGUGAGGGAGCAGGAUUUAGGAAGGAUGUUGUUCUCUUAACAGUACCAAUUCUGAAGUAUCACCUCAGAAUUAUAUGAAACCCUUUUUCGUUGAAUGGUAAUUGUGGGACAUAUCUAAAAAGAUUCAGACAAAGGCCUGAUUUUACUUUUAACCUUGGUUGCUUAUGGGCAUAUGCUACAAAUACUCUUUUGGUUUUGUCAAGAUUUCAGAUUUAAUUCCUUGCCUAGAAACUACAACGAUUCAGUCUACCUAGAAACUACAACAAUUCAGUCUAUCUUGUUGUUCUUACUAGAGAGCUUGAGCUGUUUUCAUGGCAGCACAUUGAAGGACUGUUAGUGCAUUUAAGUGCAUCUAAAUGCUUUAGAAAAUAAUUUUUCAUGACCAUAUUUGCCUUGUUUACCAAGGUAAAAAAAAGAACUAGUGUGUUGGAAUUGCUUUUAUUUAUUUAUUUAUUU